GGAUGAACGCUGGCGGCGUGCCUAAUACAUGCAAGUCGAGCGAACAGAUGAGGAGCUUGCUCCUUUGACGUUAGCGGCGGACGGGUGAGUAACACGUGGGUAACCUACCUAUAAGACUGGGAUAACUUCGGGAAACCGGAGCUAAUACCGGAUAAUAUUUCGAACCGCAUGGUUCGAUAGUGAAAGAUGGUUUUGCUAUCACUUAUAGAUGGACCCGCGCCGUAUUAGCUAGUUGGUAAGGUAACGGCUUACCAAGGCGACGAUACGUAGCCGACCUGAGAGGGUGAUCGGCCACACUGGAACUGAGACACGGUCCAGACUCCUACGGGAGGCAGCAGUAGGGAAUCUUCCGCAAUGGGCGAAAGCCUGACGGAGCAACGCCGCGUGAGUGAUGAAGGUCUUCGGAUCGUAAAACUCUGUUAUUAGGGAAGAACAUACGUGUAAGUAACUGUGCACGUCUUGACGGUACCUAAUCAGAAAGCCACGGCUAACUACGUGCCAGCAGCCGCGGUAAUACGUAGGUGGCAAGCGUUAUCCGGAAUUAUUGGGCGUAAAGCGCGCGUAGGCGGUUUUUUAAGUCUGAUGUGAAAGCCCACGGCUCAACCGUGGAGGGUCAUUGGAAACUGGAAAACUUGAGUGCAGAAGAGGAAAGUGGAAUUCCAUGUGUAGCGGUGAAAUGCGCAGAGAUAUGGGAGGAACACCAGUGGCGAAGGCGACUUUCUGGUCUGUAACUGACGCUGAUGUGCGAAAGCGUGGGGAUCAAACAGGAUUAGAUACCCUGGUAGUCCACGCCGUAAACGAUGAGUGCUAAGUGUUAGGGGGUUUCCGCCCCUUAGUGCUGCAGCUAACGCAUUAAGCACUCCGCCUGGGGAGUACGACCGCAAGGUUGAAACUCAAAGGAAUUGACGGGGACCCGCACAAGCGGUGGAGCAUGCGGUUUAAUUCGAAGCAACGCGAAGAACCUUACCAAAUCUUGACAUCCUUUGACAACUCUAGAGAUAGAGCCUUCCCCUUCGGGGGACAAAGUGACAGGUGGUGCAUGGUUGUCGUCAGCUCGUGUCGUGAGAUGUUGGGUUAAGUCCCGCAACGAGCGCAACCCUUAAGCUUAGUUGCCAUCAUUAAGUUGGGCACUCUAAGUUGACUGCCGGUGACAAACCGGAGGAAGGUGGGGAUGACGUCAAAUCAUCAUGCCCCUUAUGAUUUGGGCUACACACGUGCUACAAUGGACAAUACAAAGGGCAGCGAAACCGCGAGGUCAAGCAAAUCCCAUAAAGUUGUUCUCAGUUCGGAUUGUAGUCUGCAACUCGACUACAUGAAGCUGGAAUCGCUAGUAAUCGUAGAUCAGCAUGCUACGGUGAAUACGUUCCCGGGUCUUG
Molecule: ribosomal RNA, 1376 nt
Filed under: uncultured Staphylococcus sp.
Lineage: Bacteria; Bacillati; Bacillota; Bacilli; Caryophanales; Staphylococcaceae
Description: bacterial SSU rRNA
Rfam family: Bacterial small subunit ribosomal RNA
Source: RNAcentral